AUGUGUCCAGCUGAAGACAUGAAAGACGUGCAGCUCGCUGCUCCUUCUCCUACAAACAGAGAGAAGAUGAUCCUGCUGCUCCUCAUCCUCACCUCCUCAGCAGCAGCACUUGAAGUGAAGGUGACACAGAGCUCCUAUCAGGCAGAGGAGAACCACAACAUCACACUGGAGUGGACGUUCAACAGAAACACUAAGACUGAGGACAUUUAUGUCCUCUGUGAACAUUUAAACAAAGAAAGAGACCUGGGUCUGUACUGUUACUAUGCUGGUGUUGAGCUCUCAGAAUUUGUGGAUGAAGGUUUUUCAGGAAGAGUCCAGAGUGACACAGACGCCCUCAGAGAAGGACGAAUCAGACUUCAGUUGUCCAGACUCAGGACUGAGGACUCUGGUCGGUACGUGUGUGAUGUGAGGACAGAAUCUGGAGUUGGUUCAGCCUCCUGUGACCUGAGAGUCUCUGCAGCUGCUGCUGAGACACACACUGACAGACCAGCUCUGAGUCCAGAACCAGACACAGGACGAUGGACAGGAGAGAGAGCUGGACUGAUAGCGACAGGAGUUGAGGUCCUUCUGGUCCUCAGUUUGGUUUUCAUUUAUUUUAUGAUGACAAAAAGAAAAAAUGUGUCAGCUAGUGCACAGAAACAGUCCAUCAGCAGUAACCGGACUAGUCUUAAUGAAACCUCCACGUUUCCUGAUGUGGUCCAAACUGCCUGAUUUGCCUGAAGGUAAAUUUGCCCGGCAUGUAUGAUAUAUUUUGCAGAUUUUAAACUCUUCUUUUAAUGAUUCCUACACAGAAAACUUCCACCUGGUUUCAGUGAACAUCACGUCCGUCCUGCAGUCAGUCAGACAGACAGUGUUUGAAUGGAGUGUGUUAGGCUCUGCCUCUGUUAUCAUGCACAAACACACACUCUCUUAUCAGCCUGCGACACACUGCAGUCAUGAUUCUGACAUCAGCUUAUAUCUGCAUUACAUUGAUCUGUUCUGAACGUUUUUACAGUGAUUCUGUGUAUUAUGUGAUCAUCAUGUAAACAGGAGUUCCAGAGUGUUGGGGCAGAGCAGCUGAAUGCUCUAUAGAGGAC
Long non-coding RNA from Parambassis ranga (Indian glassy fish), 1076 nucleotides. NCBI's taxonomy places the organism in Eukaryota, Metazoa, Chordata, Actinopteri, Ambassidae. The record is from Ensembl.